AGAGUUUGAUUAUGGCUCAGGAUAAACGCUGGCGGCGCACAUAAGACAUGCAAGUCGAACGGAAGUCGUUAUAAAAAGGAUUGAAGAUUUAUCUGAUUGAGAUUUUAUAACAAUGGCUUUAGUGGCGGACUGGUGAGUAACGCGUGAGCAACCUGCCUACUAGAGGGGAAUAACAGUGAGAAAUCAUUGCUAAUACCGCAUAUGCCAUGAACAUCACAUGAUGAAAAUGGGAAAAGAGUAAUCUGCUAGUAGAUGGGCUCGCGUCUGAUUAGAUAGUUGGUGGGGCAACGGCCUACCAAGUCGACGAUCAGUAGCCGGACUGAGAGGUUGAACGGCCACAUUGGGACUGAGAUACGGCCCAG
RNAcentral lists this ribosomal RNA (362 nucleotides) under uncultured bacterium. RNAcentral describes it as "bacterial SSU rRNA". It matches the Rfam family "Bacterial small subunit ribosomal RNA", at positions 8 to 334 of the family's 1533-position model. The record is from RNAcentral.